Molecule: long non-coding RNA, 222 nt
Filed under: Elaeis guineensis (African oil palm)
Lineage: Eukaryota; Viridiplantae; Streptophyta; Magnoliopsida; Arecales; Arecaceae
Description: long non-coding RNA (EGUI_LNC006295)
Source: RNAcentral
GGCGUAAAUUACUAAAGAAAAGAUGGAAGACUUCAUUCAGAAGUCUAUCAUAUGCAGAUUCAGAUUACUGCAUACCAUCAUCAUCAAUAAUGGUUGACAGUUCGAUAAUCAGAAGUUCAAAAAAUUUUAUGUGAAACUUUAAGCAUAAGCUCACUUCUAUCAGUCAUCUAUAAUCAAACGGUGAAGCAGAGGUGACAAAUCGAACAAUCCUACAUGGUCUCA